CCUACGGGCGGCAGCAGUGGGGAAUAUUGCACAAUGGGCGCAAGCCUGAUGCAGCCAUGCCGCGUGUGUGAAGAAGGCCUUCGGGUUGUAAAGCACUUUCAGCGGGGAGGAAGGCGUUAAGGUUAAUAACCUUGGCGAUUGACGUUACCCGCAGAAGAAGCACCGGCUAACUCCGUGCCAGCAGCCGCGGUAAUACGGAGGGUGCAAGCGUUAAUCGGAAUUACUGGGCGGAAAGCGCACGCAGGCGGUCUGUCAAGUCGGAUGUGAAAUCCCCGGGCUCAACCUGGGAACUGCAUUCGAAACUGGCAGGCUAGAGUCUUGUAGAGGGGGGUAGAAUUCCAGGGGUAGCGGUGAAAUGCGUAGAGAUCGGGAGGAAUACCGGUGGCGAAGGCGGCCCCCUGGACAAAGACUGACGCUCAGGUGCGAAAGCGUGGGGAGCAAACAGGAUUAAUACCCUAGUAGUC
RNAcentral lists this ribosomal RNA (464 nucleotides) under uncultured Klebsiella sp. Its description in RNAcentral is "bacterial SSU rRNA". It matches the Rfam family "Bacterial small subunit ribosomal RNA", at positions 338 to 795 of the family's 1533-position model. Lineage: Bacteria; Pseudomonadati; Pseudomonadota; Gammaproteobacteria; Enterobacterales; Enterobacteriaceae. The record is from RNAcentral.